Non-coding RNA from Dipodomys ordii (Ord's kangaroo rat), 65 nucleotides. NCBI's taxonomy places the organism in Eukaryota, Metazoa, Chordata, Mammalia, Rodentia, Heteromyidae. The record is from Rfam.
GGUGGCUCAGUGGUAGAGUGCUUGCCUUGCAUACAUGAGGCCCUGGGUUCAAUUUCUCGGCACCA